Oncorhynchus keta (chum salmon) is the source of this 5550-nucleotide long non-coding RNA. RefSeq lists it as uncharacterized. The transcript has 2 exons. The record is from RefSeq and is a predicted model, not a curated record. NCBI's taxonomy places the organism in Eukaryota, Metazoa, Chordata, Actinopteri, Salmoniformes, Salmonidae.
AAAGAUUUCUGUUGCCUUCCUGACUGACUCUUAAGGCCUUUUCUGGUUUGGGGAAAAACCCUUCCUCUCUAAGUAGGCAAACGGAAGACAGUCCUCCUCUCCUCGAUAGCCUCCUUUUGACGAGGAAUCACACGUGUAUCCUUCCACAGAAGACAGUCCUCCUCGAUAGCCUCCUUUUGGCGAGGAAUCACACGUGUAUCCUUCCACAGAAGACAGUCCUCCUCUCCUCGAUAGCCUCCUCUUGGCGAGGAAUCACACGUGUAUCCUUCCACAGAAGACAGUCCUCCCCUCCUCGAUAGCCUCCUUUUGGCGAGGAAUCACACGUGUAUCCUUCCACAGAAGACAGUCCUCCCCUCCUCGAUAGCCUCCUCUUGGCGAGGAAUCACACGUGUAUCCUUCCACAGAAGACAGUCCUCCCCUCCUCGAUAGCCUCCUCUUGGCGAGGAAUCACACGUGUAUCCUUCCACAGAAGACAGUCCUCCCCUCCUCGAUAGCCUCCUUUUGACGAGGAAUCACACGUGUAUCCUUCCACAGAAGACAGUCCUCCCCUCCUCGAUAGCCUCCUCUUGGCGAGGAAUCACACGUGUAUCCUUCCACAGAAGACAGUCCUCCCCUCCUCGAUAGCCUCCUCUUGGCGAGGAAUCACACGUGUAUCCUUCCACAGAAGACAGUCCUCCCCUCCUCGAUAGCCUCCUUUUGACGAGGAAUCACACGUGUAUCCUUCCACAGAAGACAGUCCUCCUCGAUAGCCUCCUUUUGGCGAGGAAUCACACGUGUAUCCUUCCACAGAAGACAGUCCUCCUCUCCUCGAUAGCCUCCUCUUGGCGAGGAAUCACACGUGUAUCCUUCCACAGAAGACAGUCCUCCCCUCCUCGAUAGCCUCCUUUUGGCGAGGAAUCACACGUGUAUCCUUCCACAGAAGACAGUCCUCCCCUCCUCGAUAGCCUCCUCUUGGCGAGGAAUCACACGUGUAUCCUUCCACAGAAGACAGUCCUCCCCUCCUCGAUAGCCUCCUCUUGGCGAGGAAUCACACGUGUAUCCUUCCACAGAAGACAGUCCUCCCCUCCUCGAUAGCCUCCUUUUGACGAGGAAUCACACGUGUAUCCUUCCACAGAAGACAGUCCUCCCCUCCUCGAUAGCCUCCUCUUGGCGAGGAAUCACACGUGUAUCCUUCCACAGAAGACAGUCCUCCUCUCCUCGAUAGCUUCCUCUUGGUGAGGAAUCACACGUGUAUCCUUCCACAGAAGACAAUCCUCCCCUCCUCGAUAGCCUCCUUUUGACGAGGAAUCACACGUGUAUCCUUCCACAGAAGACAGUCCUCCUCUCCUCGAUAGCCUCCUUUUGACGAGGAAUCACACGUGUAUCCUUCCACAGAAGACAGUCCUCCCCUCCUCGAUAGCCUCCUUUUGACGAGGAAUCACACGUGUAUCCUUCCACAGAAGACAGUCCUCCUCUCCUCGAUAGCCUCCUCUUGGUGAGGAAUCACACGUGUAUCCUUCCACAGAAGACAGUCCUCCUCUCCUCGAUAGCCUCCUCUUGGUGAGGAAUCACACAUGUAUCCUUCCACAGAAGACAGUCCUCCUCUCCUCGAUAGCCUCCUCUUGGCGAGGAAUCACACGUGUAUCCUUCCACAGAAGACAGUCCUCCUCUCCUCGAUAGCCUCCUCUUGGUGAGGAAUCACACGUGUAUCCUUCCACAGAAGACAGUCCUCCUCUCCUCGAUAGCCUCCUCUUGGUGAGGAAUCACACGUGUAUCCUUCCACAGAAGACAGUCCUCCCCUCCUCGAUAGCCUCCUCUUGGUGAGGAAUCACACGUGUAUCCUUCCACAGAAGACAGUCCUCCCCUCCUCGAUAGCCUCCUCUUGGCGAGGAAUCACACGUGUAUCCUUCCACAGAAGACAGUCCUCCCCUCCUCGAUAGCCUCCUCUUGGCGAGGAAUCACACGUGUAUCCUUCCACAGAAGACAGUCCUCCCUCCUCGAUAGCCUCCUUUUGACGAGGAAUCACACAUGUAUCCUUCCACAGAAGACAGUCCUCCCCUCCUCGAUAGCCUCCUCUUGGCGAGGAAUCACACGUGUAUCCUUCCACAGAAGACAGUCCUCCCCUCCUCGAUAGCCUCCUCUUGGCGAGGAAUCACACGUGUAUCCUUCCACAGAAGACAGUCCUCCCCUCCUCGAUAGCCUCCUCUUGGCGAGGAAUCACACGUGUAUCCUUCCACAGAAGACAGUCCUCCUCUCCUCGAUAGCCUCCUCUUGGCGAGGAAUCACACAUGUAUCCUUCCACAGAAGACAGUCCUCCUCUCCUCGAUAGCCUCCUUUUGACGAGGAAUCACACGUGUAUCCUUCCACAGAAGACAGUCCUCCCCUCCUCGAUAGCCUCCUUUUGACGAGGAAUCACACGUGUAUCCUUCCACAGAAGACAGUCCUCCUCUCCUCGAUAGCCUCCUCUUGGCGAGGAAUCACACGUGUAUCCUUCCACAGAAGACAGUCCUCCUCUCCUCGAUAGCCUCCUUUUGGCGAGGAAUCACACAUGUAUCCUUCCACAGAAGACAGUCCUCCCCUCGAUAGCCUCCUCUUGGCGAGGAAUCACACAUGUAUCCUUCCACAGAAGACAGUCCUCCCCUCCUCGAUAGCCUCCUUUUGACGAGGAAUCACACGUGUAUCCUUCCACAGAAGACAGUCCUCCCCUCCUCGAUAGCCUCCUUUUGACGAGGAAUCACACGUGUAUCCUUCCACAGAAGACAGUCCUCCCUCCUCGAUAGCCUCCUCUUGACGAGGAAUCACACAUGUAUCCUUCCACAGAAGACAGUCCUCCUCUCCUCGAUAGCCUCCUUUUGACGAGGAAUCACACGUGUAUCCUUCCACAGAAGACAGUCCUCCCCUCCUCGAUAGCCUCCUUUUGACGAGGAAUCACACGUGUAUCCUUCCACAGAAGACAGUCCUCCCCUCCUCGAUAGCCUCCUUUUGACGAGGAAUCACACAUGUAUCCUUCCACAGAAGACAGUCCUCCUCUCCUCGAUAGCCUCCUUUUGGUGAGGAAUCACACGUGUAUCCUUCCACAGAAGACAGUCCUCCUCUCCUCGAUAGCCUCCUUUUGGCGAGGAAUCACACGUGUAUCCUUCCACAGAAGACAGUCCUCCCCUCCUCGUAGCCUCCUCUUGGUGAGGAAUCACACGUGUAUCCUUCCACAGAAGACAGUCCUCCCCUCCUCGAUAGCUUCCUCUUGGUGAGGAAUCACACGUGUAUCAGUAUAUUAUAUUCACGUUUCAUAUUGUCACACAGUCACUCCUCACAGUUAUAGCACCACGGGUGCUUCCCAAACUGCACCCUAUUCCCUAUGUAGUACAGUACUUUGAGUACGCCCCCUCUAGACCCUGGUAGUGCAUAAUAUAGGGAAUCGUUUUCCAUUUAGAACACAGCAUAGGGUUCCAUUUAGAACACAGAAUAGGGUUCCAUUUAGAACACAGCAUAGGGUUCCAUUUAGAACACAGAAUAGGGUUCCAUUUAGAACAGCAUAGGGUUCCAUUUAGAACACAGCAUAGGGUUCCAUUUAGAACACAGAAUAGGGUUCCAUUUAGAACACAGCAUAGGGUUCCAUUUAGAACACAGAAUAGGGUUCCAUUUAGAACACAGCAUAGGGUUCCAUUUAGAACACAGCAUAGGUUCCAUUUAGAACACAGCAUAGGGUUCCAUUUAGAACACAGCAUAGGUUCCAUUUAGAACACAGCAUAGGUUCCAUUUAGAACACAGCAUAGGGUUCCAUUUAGAACACAGCAUAGGUUUCCAUUUAGAACACAGCAUAGGUUUCCAUUUAGAACACAGCAUAGGGUUCCAUUUAGAACACAGCAUAGGUUUCCAUUUAGAACACAGCAUAGGGUUCCAUUUAGAACACAUCACAGGGUUCCAUUUAGAACACAGCAUAGGGUUCCAUUUAGAACACAGCAUAGGGUUCCAUUUAGAACACAGCAUAGGUUCCAUUUAGAACACAACCUGAGACAGACACAAAAGCUUUAUAACAGUUAGACCAGUAAUAACAACAGGCUUGAGAACAGUUAUAGCAUGUUAUAAACAACAGGCUUGAGAACAGUUAUAGCAUGUUAUAAACAACAGGCUUGAGAACAGUUAUAGCAUGUUAUAAACAACAGGCUUGAGAACAGUUAUAGCAUGUUAUAAACAACAGGCUUGAGAACAGUUAUAGCAUGUUAUAAACAACAGGCUUGAGAACAGUUAUAGCAUGUUAUAAACAACAGGCUUGAGAACAGUUAUAGCAUGUUAUAAACAACAGGCUUGAGAACAGUUAUAGCAUGUUAUAAACAACAGGCUUGAGAACAGUUAUAGCAUGUUAUAAACAACAGGCUUGAGAACAGUUAUAGCAUGUUAUAAACAACAGGCUUGAGAACAGUUAUAGCAUGUUAUAAACAACAGGCUUGAGAACAGUUAUAGCAUGUUAUAAACAACAGGCUUGAGAACAGUUAUAGCAUGUUAUAAACAACAGGCUUGAGAACAGUUAUAGCAUGUUAUAAACAACAGGCUUGAGAACAGUUAUAGCAUGUUAUAAACAACAGGCUUGAGAACAGUUAUAGCAUGUUAUAAACAACAGGCUUGAGAACAGUUAUAGCAUGUUAUAAACAACAGGCUUGAGAACAGUUAUAGCAUGUUAUAAACAACAGGCUUGAGAACAGUUAUAGCAUGUUAUAAACAACAGGCUUGAGAACAGUUAUAGCAUGUUAUAAACAACAGGCUUGAGAACAGUUAUAGCAUGUUAUAAACAACAGGCUUGAGAACAGUUAUUGCAUGUUAUAAACAACAGGCUUGAGAACAGUUAUAGCAUGUUAUAAACAACAGGCUUGAGAACAGUUAUAGCAUGUUAUAAACAACAGGCUUGAGAACAGUUAUAGCAUGUUAUAAACAACAGGCUUGAGAACAGUUAUAGCAUGUUAUAAACAACAGGCUUGAGAACAGUUAUAGCAUGUUAUAAACAACAGGCUUGAGAACAGUUAUAGCAUGUUAUAAACAACAGGCUUGAGAACAGUUAUAGCAUGUUAUAAACAACAGGCUUGAGAACAGUUAUAGCAUGUUAUAAACAACAGGCUUGAGAACAGUUAUAACAUGUUAUAAACAACAGGCUUGAGAACAGUUAUAGCAUGUUAUAAACAACAGGCUUGAGAACAGUUAUAGCAUGUUAUAAACAACAGGCUUGAGAACAGUUAUAGCAUGUUAUAAACAACAGGCUUGAGAACAGUUAUAGCAUGUUAUAAACAACAGGCUUGAGAACAGUUAUAGCAUGUUAUAAACAACAGGCUUGAGAACAGUUAUAACAUGUUAUAAACAACAGGCUUGAGAACAGUUAUAGCAUGUUAUAAACAACAGGCUUGAGAACAGUUAUAGCAUGUUAUAAACAACAGGCUUGAGAACAGUUAUAGCAUGUUAUAAACAACAGGCUUGAGAACAGUUAUAGCAUGUUGAGUCUCCAUGUGUCGCCUUCCGUUUGCUCCUCCCUGGUUUAUCACCAUAUCAAUUUAACCUGUAUGAAUAAACUGCUUAUUAAAACAG